Molecule: long non-coding RNA, 1178 nt
Organism: Pogonomyrmex barbatus (red harvester ant)
Lineage: Eukaryota; Metazoa; Arthropoda; Insecta; Hymenoptera; Formicidae
Source: RefSeq, a predicted model, not a curated record
CACGGAGUUACGAGGCGAGAAAGUGGGGGGUCCGCGAGACGAGGACGGAGACUCGCGUGGCAUUCAUCCCACGACCACGAUGAGAGCAGGACGAAAGACAGGACACACGCAGUAAUGCAUUUUACACACGCGCGCGCGCAUGUUGUCCAGUCAUGCACACACGGUGGGAUUUUUUUUUACGCUCGUACACGGUGGUCUUGUUGGUUAGCCGGUGUGGAGAUCUGUUGAAGUUUUGCACGAAUGAACUCGUCACACCAUCCUAUACGUCACUUCUAUGUUGCUCGUGCGCAGCCAAUGGAUGUCCCACAAAACCGCAGAUUUUGUUUGUUUGGAUAAUUACACUGAGUCCGGGACUGUGACUUAGACCUCGAUGAUGGCGUCGAUAUCAUGAAUUAAUAUUAGUGGCCUUGGAGCAAUUAAUAGCCGACCGACGAUCACGCGGACAGAUUUCUUCGACUCACCACGGAAAUCGGCAGGCGGAACGAAGCUGAGAAGGAGGGACGGCGGUAAAAAGGAAGAGGAAAAAAGAAUGUUGCCGAGAGACGGAAAGAGAUGGAGGACCGGUACGUCGCGGGAGGAGGGAGAGAGAUAGGCGGAACGGCAAGAAAGGGAAACGGGAUCCAGAAGGAAAGACCAAUCGAGCGAGCAUUAUACGACUGGACAUUUCGGGCAUUUUUACGAAAGGGACGCGCAGGAACGCGUGUUCUAUUAGCUAAGACAAAAGAGCGGCGCCUAAGCGGGGGCCCCUCGAAACGGGCCCCGAAACUGUCCGACGGCGUUUAUUUAUGCGUCGAACCGCGGAAAAAGAUGUAAGUCCCCCGGUGCCUGCUGCAUUCCUGCUUUCGAUCCAGCACGCCCCGACAGGGAUAUUAUCUCCCUAGGAUAUAUAAUCGACGUGUCCUCGAGGUCGUAAGGACGUAUUUUUGUUUGAGCGCGGAGAAAGGAAUAGGUUUGCGCGUACACUAUUAACCCCGCGAUCGCUUAUCUGCCAUACGGAUGAAAAGACGCGCACGCGAAAACGGCACGGAACGUAACGGGAUCGCGUCAGAGGGCGGCUAAUCGCGAUAAACCUGUUAAUUAUGAAGUAUUAGUCGGUGAAGAAGAAAAAUGUGGAGAGAAGGGAAGAAAAGAGGGGUAACACGAGGUGGCGGUCGGCUAGGAAAUGAAUCUGAACCUAA